RNAcentral lists this unclassified non-coding RNA (374 nucleotides) under soil metagenome. RNAcentral's name for it is "partial contains internal transcribed spacer 2 and large subunit ribosomal RNA". The stretch from base 1 to 120 matches the Rfam family "5.8S ribosomal RNA", at positions 35 to 154 of the family's 154-position model. The record is from RNAcentral.
GAUGAAGAACGUAGUGAAAUGCGAUAAUUAAUGUGAAUUGCAGAAUUCCGUGAAUCAUCGAGUCUUUGAACGCACAUUGCGCCGCAUGGCAUUCCGUGAGGCAUGCCCAUCUCAGCGUUAGAAAAUAUUCUCAAAUUUUAGUUUUGUGCUAAAAUUUGGAUCAUGUCAAGGAAGCUAUUACUAUUAUUGUGAUCGCUCUUUGGAAAUUGAUAGGUCUUUGAGUUGCUACUCAUAGAACGUGAUGAAUCUUUCUUCGUUCUAUUGUAAUUCACUCUGGUAGUCCUAAAACUUGUAUGCCUGUGGCAUAUCUUGUAAUUUGACCUGAGAUUGGGUAGGGAUACCCGCUGAACUUAAGCAUAUCAAUAAGCGGAGGA